GUGCUCGCUUCAGCAGCACAAGGACUAAUAUGGGAACGAUUCAGAGAAGAUUAGCAUGGCCCCUACACAAGGAAUUUGCAAGGAUGACAUGCACAUUCAU
Molecule: small nuclear RNA, 100 nt
Filed under: Rhinolophus ferrumequinum (greater horseshoe bat)
Lineage: Eukaryota; Metazoa; Chordata; Mammalia; Chiroptera; Rhinolophidae
Source: RNAcentral